Molecule: long non-coding RNA, 598 nt
Organism: Sciurus carolinensis (gray squirrel)
Lineage: Eukaryota; Metazoa; Chordata; Mammalia; Rodentia; Sciuridae
Exons: 3
Source: RefSeq, a predicted model, not a curated record
CUGCCCUGUCUGAACCCUGGCUUAUUCCAAGGGCCCUGCUUCCACCUCCUCAAACCCAGGGUUGCCUCCAGCCUGGACCUGCCGGGACGAGGAAGUUUACCACCUGCCAAUCACCCAUCCCAUGGCACAGCUCUGAUAGGACUCUACCUGUUUCUCAGGCCUGGUAGAGAUUUGCUGGCUUCAGGGACGUGGUGGGCAGGUCAGACAUGGCCUGCUCUGGAACCUGAGGAGAGGGACCCAGUACCAGCACUUUUGCCCACAGAUGGGGCUCAGAGAAGAAAAGUGAUUUUCCAGAUUUCACAGUUGGGGACCAACUGUUGGGACUGAAGUGCUGUCCAGUGGAGCCAACUGCUGCCUGCCUGGCCCUUCAUUUCCCACCUGGGGUUGCUACCUUUCACUCCUAGGCCUCUCCCUAGCAUCGUGGGACUUGGCAUGCCCACAAACCCAAGAUAAAUCACAGACUGGGACCUUACCAAGAAGACUCAGUUCACAGCCUGGGCAGCGCUCCCUGAUGGGAACUGGGCAGAGUUCGUUUUUAAAAGGAGUUGGAAGCGGGCUGGGGUUGUGGCUCAGUGGUAGAGCACUUGCCUAGCCCACG